CAGGUCCUUGCCCUCCUCAUCGAGUUGUGGCUGGCUGUGGGCUGAGCUUAUCUCGACUGUGACUUGGUGGUUGCUCUCUUGGCUGUGUUUUGUACACAUGUUAUUGUCACAAACGUACCUCAUGAUCUGGAGCCCUGGCUGAAGUUUGCUGCCAUCCGUGGGCCUGCCCUGCCUGCUGUGCUUCGCUUCUGUGGGACUGCGUCCUGUGCAAGGAGCUCCAGCCCCACGUUACUCCUGUUGGUGGUUCACACAGUGUGGAGCACAGAGCCAAGAACUCGGCCCUAGGCUGGGAUGUGCCCCCAAGGCCCGUGGUGUACUGCAGGGCAGUCUUGUGCCAAUGCACUCUGAAUGGCUUCUUGCAUGGUAGAGAGACCUGCACUGAGAUGGAACUGUCUGCAGUAGAGAAGACAUAUGCCAUGCUUAUGCUCUGUCCCAUGCUGCUAGAGGCCGCAACAGCUGUGUCACAGUCACAGGGGUGCCACUUGGAGAUAGAACCAGG
This 499-nucleotide long non-coding RNA is filed under the name Gallus gallus (chicken). RNAcentral's name for it is "long non-coding RNA NONGGAT002236". The record is from RNAcentral. Lineage: Eukaryota; Metazoa; Chordata; Aves; Galliformes; Phasianidae.